UUUGGCCUGGCAUGACAUAUUCAUCAAUUUCCAACUUAUCAUGACACAUGUUUUAUCUAGUAGUGUAUUUCAAAGAGAUGUUGGUUUUAGAAAUUUGACUAUUACAGAAGAACUCUCUGAAAGAAAGUGUUAUGGGUGAGCUUCAUGUUCUGUGAGUACUCAAAGAUUCAUAUAACAAAAGAAGAAAAUAAAAAUGAGUGUUUUAACAAGUACAUAAAUUAGACAUUUGUUUGAGUCGCAGAAUAUGAGAGUUGCAAACAACCUCAGAGGCUAUCUAGCCAACCUGUGCCUUUACAGAGAUCUAUCUACCAUCAUUCCUGACAAGGAGUAACCAAGUGUCCUCUUGAAGACCUUUCGUGAUGUGGGAGCUCACUACCUUUUUCAGGACUUUGCCACUGUGUUUUAGCUGCCCUCUAGUCCUGAGACAUUCUUCCAUCCAUGUCAUCUCCUUCUCUCAUUGGUCCAGAACUUGCAGAGUUCAGAUCAAGGGUGCAGUAACCAAACACUGAAAGCUUAAAGAUCCUGAGCUACCCCCAAGAUCCUGGAACAACAUAGCAAGAGCAGUAGCAAGACCAGCCCAGACCUUUCCCAGAAGUGCACAGAACUCAUGUAUUAAGUCUGAAGUCAGGAAAUAAAUGGAAAGAAUGAGCAAACAAAUCCCAUCAUAAAAGCUAUUUUGGUGAUAGGAAUGCUCAAGCCAAAAACUCAGAAGAAUGGCUUUGAAACAUCUACAAGCAAAGCCUGAGAGAAAAACACUGCUUGAGCACAAAUCACCUAGAAUUCUUGGAAGAGAUGAAGCAAGAGUUAAUUUUUUUAAAUAAAAAAAAAACAAGAGCA
Non-coding RNA from Phascolarctos cinereus (koala), 837 nucleotides. Lineage: Eukaryota; Metazoa; Chordata; Mammalia; Diprotodontia; Phascolarctidae. The record is from RefSeq and is a predicted model, not a curated record.